GCGAAAGGGCGAGGAAUACAUGGGUAACGUGCCUCGAGCACGAGGACAGCCGGGGGAAACUCCGGUUAAUACUCGAUAAGACCACAGCACCGCAGGGUGCAGGGGUCAAAGGGUGGGGACCUUCGGGCCUGCCGGCUCGAGAGCGGCCCAUGUCCUAUCAGCUUGUUGGUGGGGUAACGGCCUACCAAGGCUACGACGGGUACCGGGACUGAGAGGUUGACCCGGCGCAUCGGGACUGAGACACUGCCCGGACUCCUACGGGAGGCUGCAGUAACGAAUAUUGGGCAAUGGGCGAAAGCCUGACCCAGCGACGCCGCGUGUGGGAAGAAUGCCUUCGGGUUGUAAACCACUGUCAGGGAUUACCAACCAACCGGUGUGAAUAGCGCCGGGAGUUGAGGAGUCCCAGAGGAAGUCACGGCUAACUUCGUGCCAGCAGCCGCGGUAAUACGAAGGUGGCUAGCGUUGUUCGGAAUCACUGGGCUUAAAGAGCACGUAGGCGGAUGAUCAAGCGUCUUGUGAAAGCCCUCGGCUCAACCGGGGAAUUGCUUGGCGAACCGAUCAUCUUGAGGCAGGUAGGGGCGAGUGAAACUCUUGGUGGAGCGGUGGAAUGCUUAGAUAUCAAGAGGAACGCCAGAGGCGAAGGCGACUCGCUGGGCCUGACCUGACGCUGAGGUGCGAAAGCCAGGGGAGCGAACGGGAUUAGAUACCCCGGUAGUCCUGGCCCUAAACGAUGUCCACUAGGUCGGUGAGGUUCUAAUGCUUUGCUGGCCGAAACAAAAGCGUUAAGUGGACCGCCUGGGGAGUACGGUCGCAAGGCUAAAACUCAAAGGAAUUGACGGGGGCUCACACAAGCGGUGGAGCAUGUUGCUUAAUUCGAUGCAACGCGAAGAACCUUAUCCUGGGCUUGACAUACACGGAUGCCCUCCUGGAAACAGGUCGGGUUGCCCUUCGGGGUGAAACGUACACAGGUGCUGCAUGGCUGUCGUCAGCUCGUGUCGUGAGAUGUUGGGUUAAGUCCCGUAACGAGCGCAACCCUUGUCGAUAGUUGCCAGUGGGAAUGGUGGGACUCUAGCGAGACUGCCGGUGUUAAACCGGAGGAAGGUGGGGAUGACGUCAAGUCCUCAUGUCCUUUAUGCCCAGGGCUGCAAACGUGUUACAAUGG
RNAcentral lists this ribosomal RNA (1162 nucleotides) under uncultured organism. RNAcentral's name for it is "bacterial SSU rRNA". It matches the Rfam family "Bacterial small subunit ribosomal RNA", at positions 98 to 1233 of the family's 1533-position model. The record is from RNAcentral.